UUUUUCGGUGAGGAAGAUUUACCCUGAGCUAACAUCUUGCCAAUCUUCCUCUAUUUUAUGUGGGAGGCCACCACAGUGUGGCUUGAUGAGUGGUGCUAGGUCCGUACCUGGGAUCCCAACCUGUGAACCCCAGGGCCACCAAAGCAGAGCACGUAAACUUAACCACUACAAUACCAGGCCGGUUCCCAUCUAUGAUGUUUUUGAGGUGAAUAUACAAGAACUGCUUACUAACAGUUCUAAAUACAAACUAACUCUGUGGUUCUGCCUGACUCCGGAUCCCACAACCUCCACUCUUUUGAGCAUUUUGAACUUUGGCAAAUUAAAAAGGUACUUGACAGCAAAUAAAUAAAUACAAAUAAAAUUUAAGGAAAAUUCUACUCCAACAACUAUUAUUCUUGUUACUUAAAUUUUGCAAUGCCCUCCAAGUGAGGGGGAAUACCCCCUCAAAGACAGUCACAAGAUCACCACUGGAGUUGGAGAAAACAAGUUUCUGUUUUUGUUUUUUUGAGGAAGAUUAGCCCUGAGCUAACAUCUGCUGUCAAUCUUCCUCUUUUUGCUGAGGAAGACUGGCCCUGAGCUAACAUCCAUGCCCAUCUUCCUCUACUUUAUAUGUGGGACGCCUACCACAGCAUGGCCUGCCAAGUGGUGCCAUGUCUACACCCGGGAUCCGAACCGGUGAACCCCGGGCCGCCAAAGCAGAACAUGCGAACUUAACUGCUGUGCCACCAGGCUGGCCCCAGGAGAAAACAAGUUUUGAUUUACAGAGUUGACCAAACCACGAAGACAGAGCAUCCCAAACACAAAUGUAUUUGCAGCCCACCCUUAGUGAACUGAGUCCCCAAAUUGUCACCCCACAAAUGCACUGCAGAGCUACCUACAAACUCUCUGAUGUCGCCGUUGUGAACGUCCCCAAGACGCUGUAUUUUGAUGGUUUUACAAUAGCUUGUUUCUACAUUAGACACAAAGCUGUCACUGAGGGAAGUUGCUAUAGUGCCAAUCCACUCCAAGGGUUGACAGCAGAGACCCGGUAAAACAGUCUAAAAGCAACACAGAAGGUUGGAUGUUGUGAAGAAGGGAUGCAAUGCAGUUCUCUCUCCAAGAAGCAUCAGGACCACACAGACGCUAAUUAAUUGAUGGGGACAAUGCGUUUCCAGCUGCAGGACCAGGCAGGCUGGAAGGCGGUCAGACAGCUGCUGUUGGGAGUGAUUUCCAAAGCUAGCACACUGGGAGUGCCAGGGGUUUCAAGGAACUGUUGAGUGGCUCUUUCCUCUUCCUUAAUGACCAGUGAGAUCCAGACCUAUUAUUCAAGCAGAGGCGGAAAUCCUCCGCACAGCAGCUGCUGAGGCUCAGUCUGUGUCCCUAGGACGUUACUGAGCAAGAUUAUCUGUUCAGCGCUGUGCAUUGCUAAGGGAUUAAAACCGACUUCAUUCAUCACAGGCAGCCUAGGAUUUCUCCUCGACUGAGGGAUCAGAAGAAAGAAGAUCCUUCCACCACGCCCUGGCAUAGAGAUGCUUCCUGGGCUCCACAUCAAUUCCAUCCUACAGGCUUCUGCUCGUCCAAACCUCAAGCUCUGCUCGCCCUUUCUCUUCUUCAGGAUGACUGUGUUUGUCAGCUUGGGUGCAAACUCCGGGCAGUGCAGCCGCGAGGAGUCUGUUGUCGGGGGAAGUGAAACAUUAGGAGGGACCGACAUCACUAUUGUCACACAUCAGAGACGCGCCAUCAUGACCUGUCACCUAGGAGGCCAAGUUUGCCACAGGAACCGAAAUUUGAAAUUCCAGCAUGUGUCCCAAAAUGGGAUGAGUUCAUGGAGAUGGAGGAAGAUAAUUAAGGAAAAUGAAUUUAAAGUGCACUCAAGUGAUGACUUCUUGUUUUGUGCACUGUAGGUUUUAUCCUUGGUUAGGAGACCAUGGCGGAAAGAAACAAAAGUGGAAAUAAUAUGGAAUAAAAGAAUAAAAUGGGAUAAAAAAUACUGAUUAGAACGUUCUUAUUUCUAUAAGGAUGCUCUUCUUGAAAAUAAGAACAUAUUCUCAUUUCAAUAGGAAUUUUCAUUUCUUACUGAGAUAAAUGAAUGACAUGGGAAAACUCUUGUUUUCUUUGCAUUCUAUGUCACUGUUGCUCGGGGUGCCUUCUGCAAGAGACUGAGGGCUCCCCAAACCACGGACCUGCGUGUGGUUUGUCUGGCUCACACACACCUCAUAGGUCCUUCCGUUUGGCGCUGGCCCCACUGCCGUGCCCCUGGGCCAGGGGAGCACAGCCUCUCCACUGGUCUCUCCUUAGCCCCACUUCAGCACAGCUGGAUAGCAGGCCUUUCCAAGCCCAGGUCUACAGGUCCUCGCCCGCUUCUGAGAGACUGAGCACACACACAGACAACAAUCAGACAUCUGUAAAGACGGAGCUGUCACCACAACCUGCAGCCACCCGCCUGGGAAACCGACCCCUCGUCUACAGUGAACAUCCCAGGAAGCUAGCUGCCUACGUCAGACUUGCAGGAAGCCAGGCUGCCAUCUCCGGUCACAAUCCAGGAGGCUGCACAGUCACUUUUGUAACAAUCAGCCCCAAACAGCUGGAACUUGAUCAAUAACUGACGACUGCCCUAAUUUUUUCCCCUGCUUCCAACUCAGGACCAACCAGAGAAAGCCGAUUUUGCUCCCCUCGCCAACCACAUCGGAGCCCCACUUCUGGAAUUCCCUCCCCACCUCCCCCAGGCCCACGGCCUCCAUCGGGGUGCUCCUGAGCCCCCCUCUCCACUAGGAGGUUCCCCCACUCCUCUGCCUGCCUGGGGUCUCUGCCACACGACCCCCCUGCUCCAGCGUCUCUGAGUGGACAGCCUCUGCUUGUUGUCUUGGGUGGUCUUCCUUUAUUUCCACACCUCAAAGUCUCCCUACGCGUCACCGCGAUCUGGACUCUCCUGGACCAGCCCUGAGGCUCCCCUGGUACCUGUCGGCCUCACUCCCUCCCAGCUCCAGAGACCUGCUCUGUCCUUUUGUCCCUGGAUUCCUCCCGCACCUGCUCUUUGCUCCCCAGUCUGCCUCCUCUCCCUUCACCCCUCUUCCCUGCUCCCGCACCUCAGCCCCAGCCCCAGCCCCAGCAGCAGCCUCUGCUCCUCCCAGUCGAACGCCCAACCUCCUGUCCACUCUGAGUCCAAACACUGCUCCUUCCUCGAAUGUCCCCUACCUGGCUCCCGUGGCGGGCUCCAGCGGGCCCCACAGCAUGGGUACCUGCCUCGUUAGGGUUGUUAGGUUAUCCUUAGUUAUUGCAGAUUUUCUCCAGCCAAACAAAGCUUCCCCGAGGCUGACGCCCUGUUUUUCCCCUCCCCUCUCAUCGCAGCUAGCACGGUUCCUGGAUGCAAUAGGCGCUCACCACAUACGGUCAACAGGAGGGAUGAAGGUUUAGACUGGGCAUGGUCGCCCACUACCCUCCUGGUCAUAAGGAAAAGAUUCAGGACAUAGAACUUUCUUUUUCCUACAGUCCUGAGCACUUUCUCAAAUUCUCCCACUUUCUGCUCUGUGCCUACAAAGGGGCUGUCACAGCAGACCACCACAGCCCAGGCAAUUUAAACAAUAGACAUCUAUCCUCAGGGGUCCGGAGGCUGGAAGUCCACGAUCAAGGUGCCAGUGGGUUGGUUUCAUUCUGAGGUCCCUUCUCUUGGCUUGUGGGCUGCAGCUGCCUUGCCGGGGAGGGGGGGCGGGGGGCGGGGACUCACACGAGUUCCUCUUUAACCCCAUCAAGGGGGCUCCACCCGUAGGACCUCAUAUACCCCUAAUCACCUCCCGCGGCCCCGCCUCUAAACGCCAUCACCUGGGGGUUAGGGCAUCCACAUAUGGAUCUGAGGGGAGACACAAACGUUCAGUCCACAAUAAAAGAUAAACGUUCUGUUUCCUUAAAUGAUGCAGUAUGGUUUGCUAAAAUACAUUGGGGCAUUUUCUCUGACAUAAACUUUUUUCUAAUUCUUAUAGAUGAGCAAUUCUUAUAUAUUUAAUUUCCACCUUAGCUUGACUAUGAUAUUAGAACUAACUUACCCUUUAUUUAAUUUUUUUUUUGGUCAAAGUAUUUGUAUCUUCAUCAUGCUGGAAGUUACAAGUGAUUUAUAAUGAUUCCAUGAAGUCAAAUUGUGACUUGUCUUUUUAAAAAAUGCUUUGGGGUGGGGAAAGAGUGCGUCUGUCUUUAUUCGCACUUGAAGGUGCCCCCAUG
This 4191-nucleotide long non-coding RNA is filed under the name Equus caballus (horse). RNAcentral's name for it is "lncRNA (ENSECAG00000051022.1)". The record is from RNAcentral. Lineage: Eukaryota; Metazoa; Chordata; Mammalia; Perissodactyla; Equidae.